UCCUCAUUUAAAUGAGGCAGUCUGUCCAGAGUGCUUCCCGCUCUCGCGGGAGUGGCAACAGGACACAAGGGUUGCGCUCGUUGCGGGACUUAACCCAACAUCUCACGACACGAGCUGACGACAGCCAUGCAGCACCUGUGCAAGCUCCUCUUGCGAGGUCGUUACCCUUUCAGGCUUCUACCACCUGCAUGUCAAGGCCAGGUAAGGUUCUUCGCGUUGCAUCGAAUUAAGCCACAUACUCCACCGCUUGUGCAGGCCCCCGUCAAUUUCUUUGAGUUUUAAUCUUGCGACCGUACUCCCCAGGCGGCACAUUUAACGCGUUAGCUACGCCACGAACGGGGUCGAAUCCGCUCACAGCAAAUGUGCACCGUUUACAGCUAGGACUAC
This 387-nucleotide unclassified non-coding RNA is filed under the name uncultured Verrucomicrobiae bacterium. RNAcentral's name for it is "contains 16S-23S intergenic spacer region". The record is from RNAcentral. Lineage: Bacteria; Pseudomonadati; Verrucomicrobiota; Verrucomicrobiia.